UACGUAGGGUGCAAGCGUUGUCCGGAAUUAUUGGGCGUAAAGAGCUCGUAGGCGGUUUGUCGCGUCUGCUGUGAAAACCCGAGGCUCAACCUCGGGCCUGCAGUGGGUACGGGCAGACUAGAGUGAUGUAGGGGAGACUGGAAUCCUGGUGUAGCGGUGAAAUGCGCAGAUAUCAGGAGGAACACCGGUGGCGAAGGCGGGUCUCUGGGCAACAACUGACGCUGGAGGAGCGAAAAGCGUGGGGAGCGAACAGG
Molecule: ribosomal RNA, 254 nt
Filed under: uncultured bacterium
Lineage: Bacteria
Description: partial 16S ribosomal RNA
Rfam family: Bacterial small subunit ribosomal RNA
Source: RNAcentral